This 3754-nucleotide unclassified non-coding RNA is filed under the name Venturia canescens. RNAcentral describes it as "putative SLC9B1-like protein SLC9B1P1, transcript variant X1". The record is from RNAcentral. Lineage: Eukaryota; Metazoa; Arthropoda; Insecta; Hymenoptera; Ichneumonidae.
GGGAGCGGGAGUGAGAGAGAAGGAGACAGAACCGUAGUGCGCGCGCUGUAUCUCGGUAUCUGUCAGUGCACUCUUUCCUGCUGCCUGCCUGAAAACCGUCAGCGGUUACAUAGUGAGCAGCAGCAACAGAGCGAGCCCCCUCGUCACGAGAGAACAGCUUGUGUCGCCCUGUGGACUCCCUCCAAAAGAAAAAGAGAGACAGAAAUAAAAGUGGGGACAGAGACAAAGAGAAAGAGACGUACUUUGUCCUAUUGCCGGGAACGCCGGCCACCCACUUUCACCCUUAACCAUUAUUACUGAGUUUUCGAAAUACAUUUGUCCCAUAACCCUCUCGUACGAGCGCACACAGCCGUUAUUAUUCCUGGGCAACAGUCUUUCUGCUGAUUAUCGCGACGAAACUAAGGGACCAACGAAAAUUCGGUUUCCAGAACUUUUUUUGAGGUUAGGAAUCAUUUUUUGGGCGGGUGACGGUAAAUUACGGGUUUUGGCGAACAAUCGAUUUUUGUACAGAAGAAAAUCGACGAGUUUUCGACAUUUCAAGGCUUUCGUUUUAAAUAUUCAGACAAGACUAAGGAAUUAUGUGAAAUUGGAAUUUUUAUAAGCAAAUCAAAUAAUAACGGAUGGUGAGAAAUAAUGAAAAAAUUGUAUGAAUUAAGGGGAAAUUCAGAAAAUGAAAUUGUACAUUCGAAAUUCCGAGACACACUGCAUCGUCUUUAUCGGCUAUUUGUUUCGCGAAAACGUUCAAUAAUUUGACUUAUCGUUUGGUUGAAUAUAGAGAAGAGCAGCACCCGCGAUACGAUACGAAACGUCAUGACAUUACGCCGUUUAUACAUGGGGUUCAACCGUUCGGAACGUAUCGGUAACAAGUUCGACUCGCUUUCUAUAAAUAAACGGCCGAUAAGGAGAGUGCUCGAAAAAGACCCUCGUGAGAGGUUUCGGUGCAGCAAAUCGUUUGUUCAUUUCUCGCCAACUUCAUCGAGGCUUGCCAACCCGGUAUAAAGCUCUCUUUCUAUCUUGAUUUCUUUCUCUCACUGGCGGAGUUCUAUUAGAACUCGAUAACGAUCGUCCUCCUGGUCCUUGGCCGUCUUUUCGACAAUUCACUCCUCGAGGUAUUCAGAUCUCCGAGGCUGCUGCACGUUCCAAUGGAAAAGCCGUUUUCUCGGGAACGAGAUGAAUUUAAUUGAUUGUGAAGCUACGUCGAAGUCUGCUGAUAUCUUAUCGUCACGAGUUUCGAUGAUAUUUCCUCAAUUCCAAUUCCCAAAUGCUCUUCUGACAGUAAACUUGGCAGAGUCUUCGACCUGGAAUGAGUUUUUCCCUUUUUUCAUGUUUUCUUUCAAAUUUACAGAUUUUCUCGAUCUCAUUUGACAAUUGAUGAUCAAUCAAUGGUGGAGGCAACUAUCAAAUUUAAUACGAAAGUGAAUUUUUGAGGCUCGAGCCAGAACUGGCACAUCGGGGUAGAGGAAAAAAUAACAAAAUAUUUGACUCUGCCAUUAGCCUCGAAAAGCUGUCGGAAUUUCUCGAGCCUUGACCCAAAAUUUGCAAUUUGAAAUAAACCGCGACAUAAAAACAUGCUCUUCAAAACGAAACUUGAAACCUUGAAUUCUGGAGUGUGAAGUCGAAAAUUCAGAGCGAGUUUUUCAUGCCAGCGGAGAAGAAGAGAACGAUGAAGAAGAAUCGAUCACGAAAGUAUAGAAAACUGAGAUUUCUUCGUUGAAUUUGCACUCGAAAUUAUCCGUUCGUACUUCCCGUCAAUAUUCCCAUCGUGACGUAUAAGGACGCGAAUGGAAGAUACAAACAUCGAAUUAGAGGAUGGAAAACUUGGAGAACGAAUAGACGAGACAAAAUUUACAGCUACAAAGUAGCGAGCGGAGGAUUUAUGGUCAGCUCGUUCGAUUAUGGCAGUGAGAGAUGAAGAGCAAGAGGAAAGAAUCAGGGAGAGCGAAAGAGAGAUGAAUCAAACGGUCUUUCGGUCUUUCGGUCGGUCGGUCGAUCGGUCGAGGCCCAGCCGGCCGGCUGUACGAGCGAGAGGCCUCCUGGUCAACGGGGUGAGACGAAGGGAGGGAGAGAAGAGAGCGAGGGAGAGAUCGAAGACGGGAGGAGACAGAGAACUGUGGCACAGUAUACACGAUGCGAUUUUUUGUAGUAUCGCAUGAACAGCGAUCGUCCGUGUGAGAGAAAGAGCCGAAGAGAUAAAUAAAAAGAUAAGAGUUUCGGUGGGAAAGAGAGAGACGAGGAAAAGAUAGCGAAAAAAGGGACAAUCUCGAUCGCUCCUUUUAUAAAGUGGAACGGCGAAGUUUGUGCCGGAGGAUUCGCCGAAGAUCUACAGAUGGUAUCGAGACGAAUCGUCCUCGUAUCUGCAACUCUUUGCCAAGAAAAACUCAUCCAAUUGCUUUUUUUCCCUUCAUUCGUAUGUGUGUGUCUCUCUCUCUGUCUCUCUGCUUGUGUGCAGCAAUAAAUGGAGGCACGAACACACAUUUAUGGAAUAACAACGUGUAACGUGGACUCGGAGAGGCCUUGUCCCCCGAAGUCACGCAUUCAAGGUCGCCAACAUUCAGCCAGACAGCGAGUGAGCCUCGCGGCCUCGAUACGACCACUGGAAUAGAUGGAGCCACGAACUUGCGUACCCUUUUCCUCCGUUUCUUCUACAGCUCUAGAAUUAUACACAUUAUAUAUAUACACAUAUACAUAUGGACAGGAAUAAAUAUACGGAUGGAAUUUAAUCGAGACAUUGCGGGGGUUGAAACCGGAAAAUAUCCGUAACAAUCUCAUUUGCAUGAGACGAAAACGCCUCGAAGGUGAGAACUUGAAUUGCAAAUUAUGACCUAUCGCAUGCAGCUAUAACAACGAAAAUUUCAAUGUUUUCAGUACUUCUGUAUCUAAGAAGGUAUCAUUGAAACCUACAGCAUUAACGAACAUGGCUAGUCUAAUUGCACAUUGAAAGAUUAAUGAAAAUAUCAAGAGGGAAACAGAAUCCGGUCCAAUUUUUCAAUUGCAGGAAAAUGUUUUUCCGUGGUUAUUUAAAAAUUCGAUAUUUCAUGAUUCCGACGCGAGAAUACGACGUUGGAGAGAAUUUCGGCCGAGACUUCUUGAGGAAUUUUCAUAAGAAAAAAUUGUUUCCAAUAUUGCAAUAAAAAAAAAUGUCUCGCAACUGCUGUACGUUUGUCACGCUUCCUCGGCCGAAAACUUUCCACAACACACGUUUUCCACGUUCAACAUGUAUCUAAAAAAGACAAAAAUAAUAUUGAGUUUCUAGACAAAGCAAGACUUAUGAAAAAAUGAUGACAAGAUUGAUAGUAAAUGAUUAAAUACAAUAUGCAAUUAAGCUGAAGGAGUAUUCUGCGGCAUACGUACCGAGAAUCGAGCAUAAUCCGUCGAGAGAUUGCACAAACUACCUGGGGUUCGAACUAUGACUUUCGGAAUGCGAGUGUGCAAAAAGUGUUGGACAAAAAAACAGAAUGAAAGAAAAGGUUUGAAAAGUGAAGGAAACCAAAGUAAAUGGGAGUCAAAGAAACACGAAAAUCAUUAAGUGCGCGUACGCCGAAUGGUUCAAUCAUUUUUUUUUUCUGGUCUCGAACAGGCUGCUCGAGACGACGGAAAUGACGACUGCGACGAGAACGAGUGACGUUUUCCAGCUGCUCGCAAAAAAUUUCCAGUUUUCAAGGAAUUCGUAAGAGUUUAGAAAUUAUUGGUUUAAGGGACAACGAAAAAUUGGAAUAUAAAAUAAAAAUAAACGAACAAAAACAUAAACUCAAAA